Molecule: ribosomal RNA, 301 nt
Filed under: uncultured bacterium
Lineage: Bacteria
Description: partial 16S ribosomal RNA
Rfam family: Bacterial small subunit ribosomal RNA
Source: RNAcentral
CAGCAGCCACGGUAAUACGAAGGGUGCAAGCGUUAAUCGGAUUUACUGGGCGUAAAGCGUGCGUAGGCGGCUUUUUAAGUCGGAUGUGAAAUCCCUGAGCUUAACUUAGGAAUUGCAUUCGAUACUGGGAAGCUAGAGUAUGGGAGAGGAUGGUAGAAUUCCAGGUGUAGCGGUGAAAUGCGUAGAGAUCUGGAGGAAUACCGAUGGCGAAGGCAGCCAUCUGGCCUAAUACUGACGCUGAGGUACGAAAGCAUGGGGAGCAAACAGGAUUAGAUACCCCCGUAGUCCCUGUCUCUUAUAC